AGAGUUUGAUCCUGGCUCAGGAUGAACGCUAGCUACAGGCUUAACACAUGCAAGUCGAGGGGAAACGACAUCGAAAGCUUGCUUUUGAUGGGCGUCGACCGGCGCACGGGUGAGUAACGCGUAUCCAACCUGCCCACCACUUGGGGAUAACCUUGCGAAAGUAAGACUAAUACCCAAUGACGUCUCUAGAAGACAUCUGAAAGAGAUUAAAGAUUUAUCGGUGAUGGAUGGGGAUGCGUCUGAUUAGCUUGUUGGCGGGGUAACGGCCCACCAAGGCGACGAUCAGUAGGGGUUCUGAGAGGAAGGUCCCCCACAUUGGAACUGAGACACGGUUCAAACUCCUACGGGAGGCAGCAGUGAGGAAUAUUGGUCAAUGGACGAGAGUCUGAACCAGCCAAGUAGCGUGCAGGAUGACGGCCCUAUGGGUUGUAAACUGCUUUUAUAAGGGAAUAAAGUGAGUCUCGUGAGACUUUUUGCAUGUACCUUAUGAAUAAGGACCGGCUAAUUCCGUGCCAGCAGCCGCGGUAAUACGGAAGGUCCGGGCGUUAUCCGGAUUUAUUGGGUUUAAAGGGAGCGUAGGCCGGAGAUUAAGCGUGUUGUGAAAUGUAGACGCUCAACGUCUGCACUGCAGCGCGAACUGGUUUCCUUGAGUACGCACAAAGUGGGCGGAAUUCGUGGUGUAGCGGUGAAAUGCUUAGAUAUCACGAAGAACUCCGAUUGCGAAGGCAGCUCACUGGAGCGCAACUGACGCUGAAGCUCGAAAGUGCGGGUAUCGAACAGGAUUAGAUACCCUGGUAGUCCGCACGGUAAACGAUGGAUGCCCGCUGUUGGUCUGAAUAGGUCAGCGGCCAAGCGAAAGCAUUAAGCAUCCCACCUGGGGAGUACGCCGGCAACGGUGAAACUCAAAGGAAUUGACGGAAGGGCG
This 925-nucleotide ribosomal RNA is filed under the name uncultured bacterium. Its description in RNAcentral is "bacterial SSU rRNA". It matches the Rfam family "Bacterial small subunit ribosomal RNA", at positions 8 to 923 of the family's 1533-position model. The record is from RNAcentral.